GGACAUAUGGCCGAGUGGUCUAAGGCGCUAGCUUCAGGUUGAUUAAUCUCAUUGAUCGCUAGUCUUCGGGCGUGGGUUCGAAUCCCACUGUGUUCA
This 96-nucleotide transfer RNA is filed under the name Phakopsora pachyrhizi. Its description in RNAcentral is "tRNA-Leu". It matches the Rfam family "tRNA". From Rfam's summary of the family: Transfer RNA (tRNA) molecules are approximately 80 nucleotides in length. Their secondary structure includes four short double-helical elements and three loops (D, anti-codon, and T loops). Lineage: Eukaryota; Fungi; Basidiomycota; Pucciniomycetes; Pucciniales; Phakopsoraceae. The record is from RNAcentral.